UAGAAUAGCUACAGGGUGCUACAGAUGGG
This 29-nucleotide non-coding RNA is filed under the name Mus musculus (house mouse). The record is from RNAcentral. Lineage: Eukaryota; Metazoa; Chordata; Mammalia; Rodentia; Muridae.